UUGCUUCCAAUUGCUUCUACGGUGUGCUGGUGACGGGAGGGGAACAACCACCAUCUCUCUAUAUGUUUACCCAUUUACCAGGAAAUAUGUUUAUACUGUUUUCCAAUCAGGAUUUACCACAAGCCGGGAGUUCCACACCUAAUGACCAGGCCAAACCCAGCCCACUGUCAACAGAGAAAAGUCGGCCUCAAACAUGAGAGAUUUUAAAUCACAAUGGACGUUCGAGGAGCAUGACUGCCAGCACUGUGAGCAGCAGGGCUGUCUCCAGCCGUCGACAGGGAUGCCGGCUUCAUCUUCCACAGCCCGCAGGCAGUUCCAGGCACCCCUUCUUGCUGGCAAAAUGGAAAAUAGAAAACCAUCUUGGACAACCAGCUAUAGCGCGUACCAACAAAUAAAAAGAAGACAUUCUGGAGUUCCCGCUGUGACACGGGGGGUUAGGACCCUGAUUACAGAUGCCUGGGUUGCUGUGGAGGCAUGAGUUGAAUUGCCGGCCCAGGGCAGUGGCUUAAAGGAUCUGUCACCGCCACAGGCGCAGCGUAGAUCACAGCUGUGGCUCAGAUUCAAUCCCUGGCUUGGGAACGUCCAUAGGCCACAGAUGUGGCCACCAAAAAAAAAAAAAAAAAAAAAAAAAAAAGCUGCCCAAGAAUCCCCAAGAUCCCCAUUGCAGAACUGUUCAGACCACACACUGUUCUGGUGAAGAGUACAGCCUGGAGUCAGGGCGCCUGGAUGUGAACCCUGGUUCUGAUACUUAGCUGUAGAUGUUGGGCAAGUUACUUAGCUUUUUAGCGCUCCAGUUUCUUCAUCAGUAACGUAGGAAUAGUAACAGUACCCACCUGAUACAGUUGUCAUGCAUCACUUCUUCUCUCCAAGUUUAAAAAUACCUUUCAAAAGAAACAAGGAGGAAAUUAACUUGCUAAGAUUAUAUACCUUGUAGCAGUUAAAAAAAAAAAAUCCCCAGAGAAGUUAAAUCAUCCAAAAUGAGGUUGGGAGAGGGAAGACGUGGAGGGGAAGACACUGAUGAAAAACUCUGGCUCCCGUCCUUCAGAAGAGGGUGAACUCUUGAGGGAACAGCACUGUGAGGAGGAAACUAGCAAAACACAGAGGAGGAAAGACCAUUAUGAAAGAAUAUUCAAAGUACUUUUAGGAAAUUCUCUGGAGGGAAGUAGGAAGGCAAGCGUCCUAUCUCAUGGUGAGGCAGAAAGAGAACUGGAGAGCAAUCAGAGAAUGGAGUUUUAUUUCUAAAUCUGACACUGGUAUCACCUUGGUCAACUGACCGCACCUGCCUCAGCCUCAUUUUCCUUAAAAUUAUCUCCAUGCACUCUACUCUCUUCAGCUCUCAUAAUCUUUGAUUCUAGCAAUCAGUACUCCAGUUCAGGAGAUCUGAUACUCACGGGUCCUUCCAUGAAGACACAUGAAAGUCUAUAGCAGGCAAAGCCCCUCCAUCAAUGAGGCAAAUCAAGGGAAUCCUAGAAGGCUGGUUGUGGAAUUGGGUUCUGAGGGCUCUGCUCUCUAGGGAACAAUUUGGCUUAGUUGUCUCUUUCAAAGUCAUGGAAUCACAGGAUUGCCCAAACUGGAAAGUACCCUGCACCCUCAUUCUGCAGGUUCGGAAAAGUCAAAUGACCUGGCCAAGGUCAUCCAGCAGAAUAUGGCAGAGCCAGGACUAGAGUUUGCCCACUGCCUCUGCUGUCUGUAAAUGCAGGGGCUCAAGGGCUAGAACACAGCAAGUGUGCCCUUACAUAUGACUUUUAAUUGAACAGUGUCUUGGACACAAGCAGGGCUGGGGCUAGGGUAAGGUAAAUGGGGCACUGGUGUCAGGAGCAAAAUUAAAGGCGGAGCAUAAAAAAACUCAGCAUUAAAACACAGUAUCUUUAAUGCACUACUAAAAAUUAAAAAUCCAUGAACAAAAUACACAAUAUAACAUUUUUAAAUAAAGACAGAAUUGGGGAGUUUCUGUCGUGGCUC
This 1962-nucleotide long non-coding RNA is filed under the name Sus scrofa (pig). Its description in RNAcentral is "lncRNA (ENSSSCG00040013602.1)". Lineage: Eukaryota; Metazoa; Chordata; Mammalia; Artiodactyla; Suidae. The record is from RNAcentral.